This 85-nucleotide transfer RNA is filed under the name Yersinia enterocolitica (type O:5,27) str. YE149/02. RNAcentral's name for it is "transfer RNA-Ser". The stretch from base 1 to 64 matches the Rfam family "tRNA", at positions 20 to 71 of the family's 71-position model. Rfam says of the family: Transfer RNA (tRNA) molecules are approximately 80 nucleotides in length. Their secondary structure includes four short double-helical elements and three loops (D, anti-codon, and T loops). Further hydrogen bonds mediate the characteristic L-shaped molecular structure. tRNAs have two regions of fundamental functional importance: the anti-codon, which is responsible for specific mRNA codon recognition, and the 3' end, to which the tRNAs corresponding amino acid is attached (by aminoacyl-tRNA synthetases). tRNAs cope with the degeneracy of the genetic code in two manners: having more than one tRNA (with a specific anti-codon) for a particular amino acid; and 'wobble' base-pairing, i.e. permitting non-standard base-pairing at the 3rd anti-codon position. Lineage: Bacteria; Pseudomonadati; Pseudomonadota; Gammaproteobacteria; Enterobacterales; Yersiniaceae. The record is from RNAcentral.
AAGGCAACGGUCUUGAAAACCGUCGACGGGUAACCGUUCGAGAGUUCGAAUCUCUCCUCCUCCGCCAUCUUCUCUUAGUAUUUCU